AUGCUAAGUAAUAAAUCUGAAAAUGAUAUUCACCUGUAAGCAGAUAUUUUAAUUUCAUUGUGCCGAGCACAAUAUCUGAUGAAUGAAAAUAAUGUCUAUACCCUCAAUGCAGGAUUUAUAUUUACAAAUGAGUUACAUUUUUGCAAGUUUGUGUAGUUAUACACAGUGUGGUUUAUUUUCUAGUCUCAAAAUCUCCCUAUUGAUCUUUAUAUUUAGUUUUAAACAGAAAGAGCCUGUGCAUCUCUCAGAUGAAUGUGAACUCAACAUUAGUAUCAUUUUAGUAUCAUUGUUGUUUUCCCUCCCAGUAGAUGCAUCAUUGUGUCAAGAGGUGGAGCUCUCCGAUUAGUUGACUUGACUUGGCUUGUUUUCUGUUGUGGAAUGGAAUCACAUCAUUGUCACUCUUUGUAAGAGGAUCAACCAACAUGUGUCUUGCUGUCUUUGUCAUUUUGGUUCUUCAUAUAGGGAACAUCCUGACAAACAUGAUAACGUCUCAUCAUGACUCCCAAAAACAAGUUUUAGAAGGUGAAAGCGUAAAACUCACAUGUAACUACAGCGGAGUACCUGAUACUCUCCAGUGGUACACUGAAUAUCCCGGAUCUACACCAAAGUUCCUCCUCUACAUCUAUGAAAGUGGCUUGAAAAGUGAAAACAUACCAGAGCGUUUAACGCCAAGAAUUAAUAAAAAUACAAAACGUGUGGAUCUGGAGAUCUCCUCUGCUGAAGUGUCAGACUCUGCUGUGUAUUACUGCGCCCUGAAGCCCACAGUCACAGGAAACACAACUACACUAUGAUGAGAUGUGUGGGCGGAGCUUUCAG
Pimephales promelas (fathead minnow) is the source of this 816-nucleotide non-coding RNA. NCBI's taxonomy places the organism in Eukaryota, Metazoa, Chordata, Actinopteri, Cypriniformes, Leuciscidae. The record is from the annotation of a RefSeq genome assembly.